Molecule: long non-coding RNA, 949 nt
Organism: Poecile atricapillus (Black-capped chickadee)
Lineage: Eukaryota; Metazoa; Chordata; Aves; Passeriformes; Paridae
Exons: 2
Source: RefSeq, a predicted model, not a curated record
GCCUCACGGCUCGGGACGCUGCCGCUGUCCUUCAGCCCGGCCCGGAGCGCUCCUGAGGAGACUCCGAGAUAUAAAAUCCUGCUAAACGCAGUGUAAAAUCCUGCUAAAUGCAGUGUAAAAUCCUGCUAAACCCACUGUAAAGUCCUGCUAAACCCACUGUAAAAUCCUGCUAAAAGCGGCGGCUCCGGGAUGUCCCGGGCCUGUCGGUGGCCCAGCCGGAUUUAAGGGAUGAGCUCCAGGGGAUGUCCCGCUCCUGGAAUGGCAGCGCUGGAAUCGCCUGGUUCGCGUUCAGGGCUGGACAGCGGUCCCAGGCCAAGGGGAGGAUAACGCGAUUUGAGGAUUCCCACCCAUACAGGGAAUACAGAAUUUGCCGGCCACAAGGACAUUUGGCAGAAGUGGCAAGAUAAGGAAGAAGCCGAUAAAAACAGCUGGCCAGCUGUGCUGGAUCCCUGGGAAAGGAGGGGAUUCCAGGGGGGCCGGUGGCCACCAGCGAGCCGAGAAACCCCAAAAAGAGAGGAACAGCAGGAAUCGGUGUGAGAAGGAGGAGAAACAUUAAGGUGGAACGUUAAUUAAUAAGGGGAUGUGGAAUGUCAGCAGGAUAUUCCAUGGAAAAGAGCCCGGCACGUUGUCAAGGUGAAACGAGAUUCUCAGCCUGGAGCUCGCUGCCCAUAAAUCUGGGAGCAGGAUUACCCCAGCGAUGGGAAUUGCAGCGUGGAGAAGAGCAGAGAAUAUUUAUUUUGGUCUGUCCAAUAAUCCUCCUGAUGCAGAAAGAGACAAAAAUUAAUCCAAACCACUCUGAUCUGUGUGCUGUUAAAGAAGAUGGGCAUGAAACAGCCUGAAAUGUCACUGCUUGGAUAAAUUUCAUGUAAAAUUUUGACACGUGAAUCAACAAUGUUUUAUCUGAAUUCUCAAAAAAGCAAAUUAAUGCAAAAUAAACUAUUAAUAUCUC